Molecule: ribosomal RNA, 1481 nt
Filed under: metagenome
Description: bacterial LSU rRNA
Rfam family: Bacterial large subunit ribosomal RNA
Source: RNAcentral
UAGGUUUCCUGGGCAACGUUCGUCGUCCCAGGGUUAGUCGGGACCUAAGCCGAGGCCGAAGGGCGUAGGCGAUGGAUAGCGGGUUAAUAUUCCCGCACCUCCUGAACCCAAAGCGGAAAGGACGCAGGGAUGGAGAGAUGACGCCGAUUGAAUGUGGCGGAAGCAAGGCUACGGCCGAGCAUACCUUCUCGAAGUCAAUGCCAAGAAAAGCUUCCGUGUUGUGCUAAGGGAGCCCGUACCGUAAACCGACACAGGUGGGUGGGUAGAAUAUACCAAGGCGCAAGAGUGAACCCUGGUUAAGGAACUCGGCAAUAUAGCCCCGUAACUUCGGAAUAAGGGGUGCCUGCUUCGGCAGGCCGCAGUGAAUGGGAUCAACCGACUGUUUAGCAAAAACACAGCAUUGUGCCAAGACGAGAGUCCAAGUAUACGAUGUGACACGUGACCAAUGCGGAAAGAUUAAGGCAAGGGGUUAGCGCAAGCGAAGCUCUGAACCUAAGUCCCCGUGAAUGUCGGCCGUAACAAUAGCGGUCCUAAGGUAGCGAAAUUCCUUGUCAGGUAAGUUCUGACCUGCACGAAUCGUGUAACGAGUUGAUCGCUGUCUCAACCAGAAGCUCAGUGAAAUUGUAUUGGCGGUGAAGAUGCCGCCUACCCGCAGAAGGACGGAAAGACCCUAUGAACCUUAACUGUAAGCUGUUACUGGUUUUUCGUUUUCAAUGCUCAGCGUAAGUGGGAGACUUUGAAGCGGCCCUUUAGGGGGUUGCAGAGUCGUCAAUGAGACACCACCCUUUGGUAAUGGAGAAUCUAACCUCGAGCCCUACAUCGGGCCGAGGGACAAUGCCAGCCGGUCAGUUUUACUGGGGCGGUAUCCUCCCAAAAAGUAACGGAGGAGCGCGAUGGUGGGCUCAGCGUGGUUGGUAAUCACGUGUCGAGUGUAUAGGCACAAGCCCGCCUAACUGUGAGACGGACAUGUCGAGCAGAUACGAAAGUAGGCCUAAGUGAUCCGGUAGUCGAAAGUGGAAUUGCUAUCGCUCAACGGAUAAAAGGUACUCUAGGGAUAACAGGCUGAUCGCGCCCAAGAGUUCAUAUCGACGGCGCGGUUUGGCACCUCGAUGUCGGCUCGUCGCAUCCUGGGGCUGGAGAAGGUCCCAAGGGUCCGGCUGUUCGCCGGUUAAAGCGGCACGCGAGCUGGGUUCAGAACGUCGCGAGACAGUUCGGUCCUCUAUCCUCUGUGGGCGAAGGAAAAUUGAGGGGUUCAAACCCUAGUACGAGAGGACCGGGUUUGACGCACCACUGGUGCACCAGUUGUUCCGUCAGGAGCAUGGCUGGGUAGCUAUGUGCGGAAGAGAUAAGCGCUGAAAGCAUCUAAGCGCCAAGCUCAUCCCAAGAUGAGUUUUCCCUGAAGGAUCGUGGAAGACCACCACGUCGAUAGGCUGCUAGUGUAAUCGCAGUAAUGCGUUCAGCUAAGCAGUACUAAUCAUCUG